RNAcentral lists this long non-coding RNA (289 nucleotides) under Populus trichocarpa (black cottonwood). Its description in RNAcentral is "long non-coding RNA (PTRI_LNC003879)". The record is from RNAcentral. Lineage: Eukaryota; Viridiplantae; Streptophyta; Magnoliopsida; Malpighiales; Salicaceae.
GGUCCAUACAGGACACUUGACGCUUCCAUGCAACAAGGUGGCCCGAUGAAGCCGCCACGUGGCCCGAUUAUGCCGCCACGUGGCCCUGUCAAGCCACCACGUGGCCCGGUCAAGCCACCACCUGGCCCGAUGAAGCCACCACGUGGCCCGGUCAAGCCACCACCUGGAAAGAAGCCACCUCCCGGGUCACAGUAAUGCUUACAAGUGGAAUUGUGAAAUCCCUUGAGAAUGGAACACUACGGAUUAGAAGCCAGUAAAGUGUCGACCGACAGCUAGUAGUAUCUUUAUU